Molecule: long non-coding RNA, 460 nt
Filed under: Elaeis guineensis (African oil palm)
Lineage: Eukaryota; Viridiplantae; Streptophyta; Magnoliopsida; Arecales; Arecaceae
Description: long non-coding RNA (EGUI_LNC050349)
Source: RNAcentral
GUGGAGUGGAAUGGCUCUCUGUCUCAGCAAUCUAAGAGAAGAUCGGAUGUUUUUGAGGUUGCUGAUGAGUCCACAGUUGUGGGAUGCCUUAGGCGCUGACACUGCAGGUGGAAGUCAUCUGCUGUAGAAGCUCGGAUGAAAACUUUCUGUUGGAGAAGUCCGGUAGGAGUCCGAUUGCUAGAGAAGUCCGUCUGAAAUUUACCUGAUGUGGAAGCUCGUCGGAAGAUUGUUCGUCGGAGAGGUCCGAUUUCAUGAGGGCAGAGGGUCGACCAAUAGUGGAGUUCAGAUGGCGUUGUAGAAGUUCAUCCGCUGGAGGAGUCUUGAGGACACUGUGGAAGGUCGAACGUUGGAGGAGCUCGGGAUUUCAUUCUAUUGUAGAAGUUCGAACGGAGUCCGACUCUUGCAGGAAUCCUAAAGGAGGUCACUUAUUGUAGAAGCUCGGACGAAGACCAGUUGCCCU